GGCCGAGUAGCUCAGUGGUAGAGCCGGUGCCUGUUAAGCACUUUGCCGUGUGUUCGACUCACACCCCGGCCG
This 72-nucleotide transfer RNA is filed under the name Caudoviricetes sp. Its description in RNAcentral is "tRNA-Asn". It matches the Rfam family "tRNA". Rfam says of the family: Transfer RNA (tRNA) molecules are approximately 80 nucleotides in length. The record is from RNAcentral. Lineage: Duplodnaviria; Heunggongvirae; Uroviricota; Caudoviricetes.